AAGAGGAUGAGAAGAAGAAGAUGGAGUAUGAGAGCAUAUUCUUUGAAGUAGAUCAAUGCCAAACCUUUGAAGAGAAUAUGCUAGUAUUGAGCUUCAAAGAGUUUCUCAAUGUUCAACAUU
Long non-coding RNA from Ipomoea nil (Japanese morning glory), 120 nucleotides. RefSeq lists it as uncharacterized. The transcript is spliced from 3 exons. The record is from RefSeq and is a predicted model, not a curated record. NCBI's taxonomy places the organism in Eukaryota, Viridiplantae, Streptophyta, Magnoliopsida, Solanales, Convolvulaceae.